Phaeosphaeriaceae sp. PMI808 is the source of this 135-nucleotide non-coding RNA. Lineage: Eukaryota; Fungi; Ascomycota; Dothideomycetes; Pleosporales; Phaeosphaeriaceae. The record is from the annotation of a GenBank genome assembly.
GGCCGUGUGGUCUAGUCGUAUGAUUCCUGCUUUGUAAGUUACACCAAUCAACUGAGAUACAUUGCCUGAUUUAACAACAAAGGGGUUCCAUAUUCAAAAUGCAGGAGGUCCAGGGUUCAAUUCCCUGCUCGGCCC